GAUGAACGCUGGCGGCGUGCCUAAUACAUGCAAGUCGAGCGAACGGACGAGAAGCUUGCUUCUCUGAUGUUAGCGGCGGACGGGAGAGUAACACGUGGAUAACCUACCUAUAAGACUGGGGUACCUUCGGGAAACCGGGGCUAAUGCCGAAUGAUUUAUUGACCCGCAGGGUUCAAAAGUGAAAUACGCUCUUGGGUUCACUAAUAGAUGAACCCGCCCUCCAUUAGCUAGUGGUUAGGGUAGCGGCUUACCAAGGCAACGACGCAUAGCCGACCUGCGAGGGUGCUCGGCCACGCUGGUACUGGGGCACGGUCCGGACUCCUGCGAGAGGCAGCCGUAGGGAAUUCUCCCCGAUGGGCGAAGGCCUGACGGAGCGACGCCGCGUGAGUGAUGGAGGUCUCCGGAUCGUAAGACUCUGUUAUUAGGGAAAAACAUAUGUGUCAGUAACUGUGCACAUCUUGGCGGUACCUAAUCAGAUAGCCACGGCUAACUACCUU
RNAcentral lists this ribosomal RNA (497 nucleotides) under uncultured bacterium. Its description in RNAcentral is "partial 16S ribosomal RNA". It matches the Rfam family "Bacterial small subunit ribosomal RNA", at positions 28 to 507 of the family's 1533-position model. The record is from RNAcentral.